Molecule: transfer RNA, 68 nt
Filed under: Mus musculus (house mouse)
Lineage: Eukaryota; Metazoa; Chordata; Mammalia; Rodentia; Muridae
Rfam family: tRNA
About the family: Transfer RNA (tRNA) molecules are approximately 80 nucleotides in length. Their secondary structure includes four short double-helical elements and three loops (D, anti-codon, and T loops).
Source: Rfam by way of RNAcentral
GAGGGCUCAGCAGUUAAGAGCACUGGCUGCUCUUCCAGAGGUCCUGAGUUCAAUUCUCAGCAACCUCA